UGAUACCAGGGUCAAAAGGUCAUGCGUUUCAUGCUUGCAUGAAAAAGCAUGACUUUGGGACCCCUACAUCAUGAUAAUCAGUGUAGUUAGAUUUUCCUGAAAAGUCAAGAAAAUACCUCUAAAGGAGUAA
This 130-nucleotide small RNA is filed under the name Muricomes intestini. RNAcentral describes it as "Clostridiales-1 RNA". The record is from RNAcentral. Lineage: Bacteria; Bacillati; Bacillota; Clostridia; Lachnospirales; Lachnospiraceae.